RNAcentral lists this ribosomal RNA (381 nucleotides) under uncultured eukaryote. RNAcentral describes it as "partial 18S ribosomal RNA". It matches the Rfam family "Eukaryotic small subunit ribosomal RNA", at positions 592 to 976 of the family's 1831-position model. The record is from RNAcentral.
CAAUAGCGUAUAUUAAAGUUGUUGCGGUAAAAAAGCUCGUAGUUGGAUUUCUACCGAAGAUAGCCGGUCGGGUCUUCGCCCUUGUAUCUGGUUUUGUCUUUGGUAUCCUCAUAGGGAACGUUUCUGCGCUUUAUUGCGUGGUGCGGUAUCUAUGACUUUUACUUUGAGGAAAUUAGAGUGUUCACGGCAGGCAAACGCCUUGAAUAUAUUAGCAUGGAAUAAUAACAUAGGAUCUUCGUCCUAUUUUGUUGGUUUCUAGGGCUAAGAUAAUGAUUAAUAGGGAUAAUUGGGGGCAUCUGUAUCAACGCGUCAGAGGUGGAAUUCUUGGAUUGCGUUGCGACAAACUACUGCGAAAGCAUUUGCCAAGGAUGUUUUCAUUGA